Molecule: RNase P RNA, 397 nt
Filed under: Amycolatopsis jiangsuensis
Lineage: Bacteria; Bacillati; Actinomycetota; Actinomycetes; Pseudonocardiales; Pseudonocardiaceae
Description: Bacterial RNase P class A
Rfam family: Bacterial RNase P class A
About the family: Ribonuclease P (RNase P) is a ubiquitous endoribonuclease, found in archaea, bacteria and eukarya as well as chloroplasts and mitochondria. Its best characterised activity is the generation of mature 5'-ends of tRNAs by cleaving the 5'-leader elements of precursor-tRNAs.
Source: Rfam by way of RNAcentral
CGAGCUGGCAGGACGGUCGCGGCCCGGGUCUCCCGGUCCGAGGAAAGUCCGGACUCCACGGGGCAGGGUGGUUGCUAACGGCAACCCGGGGCGACCCGCGGGACAGUGCCACAGAAAACAGACCGCCCCCGUCUCCGGACGGGGGUAAGGGUGAAACGGUGGUGUAAGAGACCACCAGCAUCCCGGGCGACCGGGGUGGCUCGGUAAACCCCACCCGGAGCAAGGCCAAGAGGGAGCGUUCCGGCGCUCCUGCGCAGGCGAUCGAGGGCGGCCCGCCCGAGCCUGCGGGUAGGCCGCUGGAGCCUGCCGGCAACGGCAGGCCGAGAUGGAUGACCGUCGCCCGGUCGGCCGCGAGGCCACCCGGGAACAGGAUCCGGCUUACAUGCCAGCUCGUCCG